CUGGUCUUCUGGACAGACAACAGCAGGGCCUCUGUUUUCCCAUCUAGCAAAAGGGCUCCAUCAGUGGUUUUCAAACUGUGCUCCAAGGCACCCUGGGGCCAAGAAGAGUUUGCAACCACCCUGAAGAGAGGAUGUCCCCAAGGUCCUCCUGGGAUCCCACCCACCUCCCUGCCUCCCCUUCAGUCCUGGUCCACCCCUGAAAGGCAGGAUGUGGCUGCCAAAGGUAGGU
RNAcentral lists this long non-coding RNA (229 nucleotides) under Homo sapiens (human). Its description in RNAcentral is "HSALNT0277970". The record is from RNAcentral. Lineage: Eukaryota; Metazoa; Chordata; Mammalia; Primates; Hominidae.